CUAUUUCAAUCUCAAGCUGCUGUAAAUUUUUUUCUAGUCUCUUCUUUUUUUGAUAAUCUCUACUGCUGCUUUCAAGCACUGGAGUUCUUCUCAAUCCCUCUGUACUGACAGAUUGCUCGUCUCCACCUAAAUGUAGCUUAUUUAGGUCGUCACGGGAUAUUUGCAUCUGUUUCUCUCUUUGGAAUAACUCCUGGGUUAGCAUUCUAGGAUCGGUUGCCCUGGAACCUUUGUCUUGUUCAAAGAAGAGGACUUGAACCACGGUUCUCAAUGGC
This 272-nucleotide unclassified non-coding RNA is filed under the name Hevea brasiliensis (rubber tree). Lineage: Eukaryota; Viridiplantae; Streptophyta; Magnoliopsida; Malpighiales; Euphorbiaceae. The record is from RNAcentral.